RNAcentral lists this ribosomal RNA (253 nucleotides) under uncultured bacterium. RNAcentral's name for it is "partial 16S ribosomal RNA". It matches the Rfam family "Bacterial small subunit ribosomal RNA", at positions 524 to 776 of the family's 1533-position model. The record is from RNAcentral.
UACGGGGGGGGCUAGCGUUGUUCGGAAUUACUGGGCGUAAAGGGCGCGUAGGCGGCUUAUCAAGUCAGGCGUGAAAUUCCCGGGCUCAACCUGGGGGCUGCGCUUGAUACUGAUGAGCUUGAAUGCGGGAGAGGAUAGUGGAAUUCCCAGUGUAGAGGUGAAAUUCGUAGAGAUCCGGAGGAACACCAGUGGCGAAGGCGACACGCUGGGCCAUACCUGACGCUAAAGCGCGACAGCAUGGGGAGCAAACGGG